RNAcentral lists this ribosomal RNA (156 nucleotides) under Liposcelis decolor. Its description in RNAcentral is "5.8S ribosomal RNA". It matches the Rfam family "5.8S ribosomal RNA". Rfam says of the family: 5.8S ribosomal RNA (5.8S rRNA) is a component of the large subunit of the eukaryotic ribosome. It is transcribed by RNA polymerase I as part of the 45S precursor that also contains 18S and 28S rRNA. The record is from RNAcentral. Lineage: Eukaryota; Metazoa; Arthropoda; Insecta; Psocodea; Liposcelididae.
AACCCUGAACGGUGGAUCACUUGGCUCGUGAAUCGAUGAAGAACGGAGCAAAAUCCGCGUCGACAUGUGAACUGCAGGACACAUGAACAUCGAUAUUUCGAACGCACAUUGCGCUCUGGGGAACUCCGUUCCCGGAGCACGUCUGUCUGAGGGUCG